UGUACGGUUCAUUCAUUGUCAACGGUCCUCUAUUGCCGUGCAACUAUCCCAUGUAUGCUAUUGAAGAAUCACCACCAUUUUUAAAAUGAUGCAGAACUAACAAAGGAGUCUUCAACCAAUCAUCGAGAGAGAGAGAGAGAGAGAGAGAUGGAAGAAAUAGAAUUCGUCGCGAGUCCGGCAGCUCUGCAAGCUCCGAUGGAUGUCAUAAACCGCAUCUUCUCACAGCUCGACUGCAUCGAUCUCAUCCAUUGCUCUCUCGUCUGCAAGCAGUGGUACAGGGACUCUGCCGAGCUGAGGGAGGCUUGGAAAAAUGAAUUAGAAGCAUGCAGAGCAUGUAACGUGUUCGGGUUUGCAGAUUAAAAGGCAAACCCAUUUACCGUCUGCCACAUAUUCUGUUAAAGGUUUGCUUAGUUGGUACCCUUGAUUUUCAUGUGCUACUCUACAAUAAUCUCCAACAGAAGCAACAGUUGUAAAGUGUAUUUAAAAAAAAGAAAAAGAAAAGAAAAGAAAAGAAAAACGUUCAUGUAAAUAUCACUGAAGCUUUGGAAGCCAGGAUUCAAUGUCCUUUAUUUAUUGGUUUCUUUGUAUGGCAUGAGUUCUUGUGAUA
This is a long non-coding RNA of Magnolia sinica, 607 nucleotides long. RefSeq lists it as uncharacterized. The transcript is spliced from 2 exons. Lineage: Eukaryota; Viridiplantae; Streptophyta; Magnoliopsida; Magnoliales; Magnoliaceae. The record is from RefSeq and is a predicted model, not a curated record.